GAGAGGGAAACAGCCCAGAUCCCCGUUUAAGGCCCCUAAAUAAUUACUAAGUGACAAAGGAGGUAAUCGUACAUAGACAACCAGGAGGUUUGCCUAGAAGCAGCCACCCUUUAAAAAUUGCGUAAUAGCUUACUGGUCAAGUGCUUUUGCGCCGAAAAUGAAUGGGACUAAGUAAUUUGCCGAAAAUGUGAGAUAAUAUCGGUAGAAGAGCGUUCUGUUUUAGUUUGAAGCAAUAGUGUAAACAGUUGUGGACUAUUCAGAAGUGAGAAUGUCGGCUUAAGUAACGAAAACAUUGGUGGAAAUCCAAUGCCCCGAAAACCUAAGGAUUCCUUCGCAAGGUUCGUCCACGAAGGGUUAGUCAGGGCCUAAAAUGAGGUUUAACAACGUAAUUGAUGGAUAACGGGUUAAUAUUCCCGUACUGCAAUUUAUAUGAUUAAGAGUGACGAAGAAGGCUAUAUCAUCCAAGUUUUGGUUUUUGGUUUAAUCUUUCAAGAUUUUGAGAAAUGCUAAAAAAAGUAUUUUGAGUUGAGAAGAGAAUACGAGAUAUACUACGGUAUUGAAAGUGAUAAAUGCCAUGCUUCCUAGAAAAACUUUUUUAACUUCUGUAGAUUGUACCUGUACCUUAAACUGACACAGGUAGGUUGGUAGAGAAUACCAAGGGGCGCGAGAUAACUCUUUCUAAGGAACUCGGCAAAAUGACUCUGUAACUUCGGGAGAAAGAGUGCCACAUUUAUGUGGUCGCAGUUAACAGACCCAAGCGACUGUUUACCAAAAACACAGGUCUCCGCUAAGUUGUAAAACUAUGUAUGGGGGCUGACGCCUGCCCAGUGCCGGAAGGUUAAAGAAAUUGGUUAGCUCACGCGAAGCUGGUGACUGAAGCCCUGGUGAACGGCGGCCGUAACUAUAACGGUCCUAAGGUAGCGAAAUUCCUUGUCGGGUAAGUUCCGACCCGCACGAAAGGCGUAACGAUUUGGGUACUGUCUCAGAAAGAGACUCGGUGAAAUAGAAUUGACUGUGAAGAUGCGGUCUACUUGCACUUGGACAGAAAGACCCUAUGAAGCUUUACUGUAACUUGAAAUUGGUUUCGGGCUUUUCUUGCGCAGAAUAGGUGGGAGGCUAUGAUCCUCUUUUUCGGAAGUUGGUGAGCCGCAAUGUGAGAUACCACUCUAGAAAAGUUAGAAAUCUAAUGACAUUUUUUAAUCAAGAUGUUUGACACUUUCAGGCGGGCAGUUUUACUGGGGCGGUAGCCUCCUAAAAAGUAACGGAGGCGUACAAAGGUUUUCUCAGGCUGGACGGAAAUUAGUUGUAGAGUGUAAAGAUAUAAGAAAGCUUGACUGUGAGACCUACAAGUCAAACAGAGACUAAAGUCGGUCUUAGUGAUCCGACGGUGCUGUAUGGAAAGGCCGUCGCUCAACGGAUAAAAGUUACUCUAGGGAUAACAGGCUGAUCUCCCCCAAGAGUUCACAUCGACGGGGAGGUUUGGCACCUCGAUGUCGGCUCAUCGCAACCUGGGGCGGAAGUACGUUCCAAGGGUUGGGCUGUUCGCCCAUUAAAGCGGUACGUGAGCUGGGUUCAGAACGUCGAGAGACAGUUCGGUCCAUAUCCGGUGUGAGUGUUAGAGUAUUGAAAGGAGCUUUCCUUAGUACGAGAGGACCGGGAAGGACGCACCACUGAUGUACCAGUUUUUGUACCAACAGAAUACGCUGGGUAGUCACGUGUGGAGUGGAUAACUG
RNAcentral lists this ribosomal RNA (1733 nucleotides) under Monomorphina megalopsis. Its description in RNAcentral is "bacterial LSU rRNA". It matches the Rfam family "Bacterial large subunit ribosomal RNA", at positions 1013 to 2770 of the family's 2925-position model. The record is from RNAcentral. Lineage: Eukaryota; Euglenozoa; Euglenophyceae; Euglenales; Euglenaceae.